GGUUGAGUCUUUAACUGAAAUAACUGCUGGAGAGGCUGCCUGGGCUUGAUUGACAUGAGGUUAUCAAUGGAAAGUGUCUCACGUUGUUUCUGAUAACCAAGGCCCAGCAUGAAGGAGUUAUCUUUGCCAGACCUGCAAGGUGGGAAGUCUUGGCAACAGCUCUGGGCGAAACCAAGAACAAGAUGACGCCAAGAUGUUGGUUUCUCUUGAGGGGGUGCAUAUCAGAGAUGCGUGGCCUUUGGGUGGUGUUUGACAUAAAAGGAAAAGAAGAACUGUGUCCUACUCAGAGGACAUGGAAAGGAUGAAGAAGGAGGCGGUCCCAUGUUGAGGCUAGAACCCAGGAUCUCACACAGCUAGUACAGAAUAACAAUAGACACAAGAAGGCUGGGCUUGUCGGUUCACACCUGGAACCGCAGAGGAGCAGAUCGAGAAACGGAACAGCAAAGACCGGAGUUUUAGAAAAUGAAAAGACUGCAGCUUGUGUCUAGUUGGCCCUAACAAGACAGCUGUGAUGUCAGGCUGCUAAGAGUGGAAGAGUCCUGGCAAAGACAAAAUGGAAUAGUCCACGAGAAGCAUUCUCUCAGCACAGCGGCAAUCAGGCUUCAUAAGAGAAAAAGCAGCAAGGGUUUCUAGGUACAGGCCAUGAGACGAGGGUGUGAGAUUCCUGGCUUCUGACGUUUCCUGUGCUCCUUCCUUGAUCAUUGCUUCAGGCACGGGUGCUUCAUCAGAGUCCUUCCAUCUCUUUCCAGCUGUGAUGGGCAAGGAGGCCUCGCACAGCUGCUCUUGCUGGGCGAGAGUCCACAAUUAAAGGCAUCACUGCUCCCACUCUGGCUCCGGCUCCUCUCUGGGAUGAUUGCUGCAAGCUCACAAGGUCUCGAGGGAGCCCGCUCUGCCUUCCUCUGCACAUCACCUCUGCUCUCGGCUCGCACUAGCUCCCC
Rattus norvegicus (Norway rat) is the source of this 938-nucleotide non-coding RNA. Lineage: Eukaryota; Metazoa; Chordata; Mammalia; Rodentia; Muridae. The record is from RefSeq and is a predicted model, not a curated record.